CUUUCUCAGGCAGCUAGUCUCUUUGCCUUGGUGGAUAGUGCUGAGUUCAAAUGAUGCCAUACAGCAGUCAUUAUGGAGCUUGCUUUGUUUCCUCAGGGCCCUCAAAAAAACACGGGCAACUACUUUAUCAUGGGAAAGAAGGAAUCAUUCCUUCAAUGACAGUCAACUUCACUAGAACCAUGGACCGGGAGUGAGGUCAUUUCUGCUAUUGAUCUGGUUCUCACGAGAUGGACUGGUGCUGAUGGGAGAAAGAUAUGUGAUGAUGACCUACUUUGUGUACAUGCUUCUCCUUCUCCGUUGUCGCUAUUGCCCAGUGGUUUUCGGAUUCAUUUGAGUAACCUCAACAAAUUAAAUGCAAGUGAUGGUUCAUUCAAACUCUCAGGAUACAUCUCACUUCAGAUUUGGAGGUUGG
This 412-nucleotide unclassified non-coding RNA is filed under the name Hevea brasiliensis (rubber tree). Lineage: Eukaryota; Viridiplantae; Streptophyta; Magnoliopsida; Malpighiales; Euphorbiaceae. The record is from RNAcentral.